AUCUUCCACAAUGGGCGAAAGCCUGAUGGAGCAACGCCGCGUGGGUGAAGAAGGUCUUCGGAUCGUAAAACCCUGUUGUUAGAGAAGAAAGUUCGAUAGAGUAACUGUUCACGUUUCGACGGUACCUAACCCGAAAGACAUGGCUAAAUAUGUUCCAGCAGCCGCGGUAAUACGUAGGUGGCAAGCGUUAUCCGGAUUUAUUGGGCGUAAAGGGAACGCAGGCGGUCUUUUAAGUCUGAUGUGAAAGCCUUCGGCUUAACCGGAGUAGUGCAUUGGAAACUGGGAGACUUGAGUGCAGAAGAGGAGAGUGGAACUCCAUGUGUAGCGGUGAAAUGCGUAGAUAUAUGGAAGAACACCAGUGGCGAAAGCGGCUCUCUGGUCUGUAACUGACGCUGAGGUUCGAAAGCGUGGGUAGCAAA
RNAcentral lists this ribosomal RNA (419 nucleotides) under uncultured bacterium. Its description in RNAcentral is "bacterial SSU rRNA". It matches the Rfam family "Bacterial small subunit ribosomal RNA", at positions 361 to 772 of the family's 1533-position model. The record is from RNAcentral.